GAUGAACGCUGGCGGCGUGCUUAACACAUGCAAGUCGGACGGGAAGGGGUUGUUCUAGUGGCGUGCUGGAGAGGAACGCGUAAGAAUCUCCCGUGGGUAGGGUAACAACGGCUGUAAGCUGCCUCUAGUAACCCGUGGGCUGUGGAGGAAAAGGAGGACUCCGCCCGAGGGGGGGCUGGCGACUGAUGAGGGAGGUGGUGUGGCAAUAGGUUAACAAGGCGAUGAUCAGGAGCUGGUCCGAGAUGAUGAUCAGCAAUGCUGCGACUGAGACGCGGCGCAGGCUCCUGCGGGAGGCAGCAGUGGAUAAUGCACCGCAGUGGGCGACAGCCUGACGGAGCAAUGCCGCGUGGAUGUCGAAGGCCGAGGUGUCGUCCACUUCCUCCUCCGGCGAAGAAUCAAUGACGGUAUCUGGUAAAUAAGCAUCGGCUAACUCUGUG
RNAcentral lists this ribosomal RNA (437 nucleotides) under uncultured bacterium. Its description in RNAcentral is "partial 16S ribosomal RNA". It matches the Rfam family "Bacterial small subunit ribosomal RNA", at positions 28 to 507 of the family's 1533-position model. The record is from RNAcentral.